AACAGUCACGUAUAAAGUGGUUUCUUUGAAAACAGAUGCUGGGUAGUGUUCUAAAAUUUUUUCUAUAGCGAUAAGUUCAGCAUGUCGAAUCCCCUUUAUCAUCGUCAGCAAAGGCAUAUUAAAAUAAGGCUUACCGAGAGGCUGCAGUUAGUUUCAUUAAAACCACGGCCUAUUACUUCUCCUUUAUAUACAAAGACGCAACUACCGGGACUUCUCGGUUGGAUAACGAAGUACGGGCCUAAAUUUAGGACUUUUAGUUGUUAAUAUGUAGGAAAUUGAGCUUACCAUUUCAUGCGCCAACUUCAUAUAUGUUUCAUGCUGAGUAUCAUAUUUCACCGUAUUUGAUGAACUUGUUUUGUUCAUUUCCGCGAGGAUAUCUUGAAGAUGUUGGCUUACAAAAAGUAGGGCUGUGUCAAUGUUUUCUUUUUGAGGGAGUAUAAUAUCAGCGUUCUCUCGAGUCUUCCAAUAAUUAGUAUACAACAGCAAAUAAGAGUUUAACAUACUGGAUGAAUCGAAGAGUCGUAUGCAGGUUUAGACAAAGUUACAAACUAAAAGAAAUUAGAAUAAACCUAGAAGAAAAACCCUUACAUCGUUCAAAACUUUGGUUAAGUCUCCUUUUUCUGCUUUGACCCUCUGUAAAACGCAGCGUUCCAAACGAGUAUCUGCAUCUUCAUAUACAAAAAUUUUAGACGUAUAGUAGGGCAGCAAUUCGGGAAGAAGAAGAUAGUAACCUUCGAUUAGAAUAAUUCUAUUCUGGUCUACAGGUAGCUUUAUACAAGAACCAUCUGGCAAACAUAUUUUCUCGGCUCCUUGAGAAAUCAAAGAAAGAACUUUUUUAAACGCUUCAAUAUCGUAAGAGGAAAGUGCAUACCUGUCGACAGAAUUGGGAUAAAGAAAUGAAGUAAGAUGGAUCAAUUUAGAAAAAGUUGAAGGUGCUGAUGACUUUAAACGUUCAAGUAAUUGCUCACAGAGUUGU
Molecule: non-coding RNA, 976 nt
Organism: Schizosaccharomyces pombe (fission yeast)
Lineage: Eukaryota; Fungi; Ascomycota; Schizosaccharomycetes; Schizosaccharomycetales; Schizosaccharomycetaceae
Source: the annotation of a GenBank genome assembly